ACUCUUACUAACCGAUAGCGCAUAGUACCGUGAGGGAAAGGUGAAAAGAACCCCUGGAGGGGAGUGAAAUAGAACCUGAAAUUGUGUGCUUACAAGCGGUCAGAGCCAGUAAUGGUGAUGGCGUGCCUUUUGGAGAAUGAUCCUGCGAGUUACGUUAAACGGCGAGGUUAAGUAUAACGAAGCCGAAGGGAAACCAAGUCUUAAUAGGGCGAUUUAGUCGUUUGGCGUAGACGCGAAACCUGGUGAUCUAAACCUGUCCAGGAUGAAGCUGUGGUAAGACACAGUGGAGGUCCUAACCCACCGCCGUUGAAAAGUUGGGGGAUGAGGUAGGUUUAGGGGUGAAAAGCCAAUCGAACCAGGAGAUAGCUCGUUCUCUCCGAAAUGCAUCUAGGUGCAGCCUUGAGUGUUCAAUUAUGGGGGUAGAGCACUGAAUGAUCUAGGGGGCAUAUUGCUUACUGAAAUCAAUCAAACUCCAAAUACCAUAAUUUAUAGCUCAGGAGUGAGACCAUGGGAGUUAACUUCCAUUGUCAAAAGGGAAACAACCCAGACCACCAGCUAAGGUCCCUAAUUAUAACUAAGUGGGAAAGGAGGUGGAGAUUCACAAACAACUAGGAGGUUGGCUUAGAAGCAGCCAUACCUUUAAAGAGUGCGUAAUAGCUCACUAGUCGAGAGUCUCUGCGCCGACAAUGUAACGGGGCUAAGUUAUAAACCGAAGCUGUGGAAUCCUUAUGGAUUGGUAGGAGAGCGUUCUGUAGGCCGUUGAAGAAGAAGGGUAACCGACUUUGGAGGUAUCAGAAGUGAGAAUGCAGGAAUAAGUAGCGAGAAAGGGGGCGAGAAUCCCCCUCGCCGGAAGACCAAGGUUUUCAGGGUAAAGCUUGUCUUCCCUGAGUAAGCCGGGACCUAAGCCCAGGCUAUAAUGCGUAGGCGAAUGGAAAACAGAUUAAUAUUUCUGUGCCAGUCAUUUAUUGUGAUGGAGGGACGCAGAAGGGUAUGUGCGCGGACGAUCGGUUGUGUCCGUAGAAGUAUGUAGGGUGACUUAGUAGGUAAAUCCAUUAAGUUAUAUCUGAGGUAUGAUAUACAGUCGUAAGAUGAAUGUACAAAUCCCACGCUGCCAAGAAAAACUUCUAACGUUAAUAUAUGACUGCCCGUACUGUAAACCGACACAGGUGGUCAGGAUGAGAAAUCUAAGGCGGACAGGCUAACUCUCGUUAAGGAACUCUGCAAAAUAACCUCGUAACUUCGGGAGAAGAGGAGCCCUUGUGUGUGAGUAUACACGCGAUACAAAGCGCACGAGGGUCGCAGUGAAGAGGCUCAAGCAACUGUUUAACAAAAACACAGGUCUAUGCUAAGCUGUAAGGCGAUGUAUAUGGGCUGACACCUGCCCAGUGCUGGAAGGUUAAGAGGAGGAGUGAGAGCUCCGAAUUGAAGCCCCAGUGAACGGCGGCCGUAACUAUAACGGUCCUAAGGUAGCGAAAUUCCUUGUCGGGUAAGUUCCGACCUGCACGAAUGGUGUAAUGAUUUGAGCGCUGUCUUGACGGGAGGCCUGGUGAAAUUGUAUUACCGGUGAAGAUACCGGUUACCUACAGUAGGACGGAAAGACCCCAUGGAGCUUUACUGUAGCUUGGUAUUGGGUUUUGGCAUUGCAUGUAUAGGAUAGUUGGGAGACUAUGAUGGUAUGGCGCUAGCUGUAUCGGAGUCAUCGGUGGAAUACCAACCAUUCAAUGCUGAAAUUCUAAUCUGUGGUUUGUAGCCACGGAGACAGUGCUAGGUGGGCAGUUUGACUGGGGCGGUCGCCUCCGAAAGAGUAACGGAGGCGUUCAAAGGUUCUCUCAGGUUGGAUGGAAAUCAACCAUAGAGUGCAAUGGCAUAAGAGAGCUUGACUGCAAGACUGACGGGUCGAGCAGAUGCGAAAGCAGGACAUAGUGAUCCGGCGAUUCCGAAUGGAAGGGUCGUCGCUCAACGGAUAAAAGCUACCCUGGGGAUAACAGGCUGAUCCUACCCGAGAGUCCAUAUCGACGGUAGGGUUUGGCACCUCGAUGUCGGCUCAUCGCAUCCUGGGGCUGGAGAAGGUCCCAAGGGUUGGGCUGUUCGCCCAUUAAAGCGGUACGUGAGCUGGGUUCAGAACGUCGUGAGACAGUUCGGUCCCUAUCCACUGUAGGCGUUAGAAUAUUGAGAAGACCUGUCCUUAGUACGAGAGGACCGGGAUGGACAAACCUCUGAUGUACCAGUUGUCACGCCAGUGGCACAGCUGGGUAGUCACGUUUGGAAUAGAUAAUCGCUGAAAGCAUCUAAGCGAGAAACUAACUUCAAGAUAAGUAUUCU
Molecule: ribosomal RNA, 2322 nt
Filed under: metagenome
Description: bacterial LSU rRNA
Rfam family: Bacterial large subunit ribosomal RNA
Source: RNAcentral